RNAcentral lists this ribosomal RNA (440 nucleotides) under uncultured bacterium. Its description in RNAcentral is "partial 16S ribosomal RNA". It matches the Rfam family "Bacterial small subunit ribosomal RNA", at positions 338 to 795 of the family's 1533-position model. The record is from RNAcentral.
CCUACGGGAGGCAGCAGUAGGGAAUAUUGCUCCAUGGGGGAAACCCUGAAGCCGCGACGCCGCGUGGAGGAUGAAGGUUUUCGGAUUGUAAAUUCCUUUUGUUAGAGAAGAUAAUGACGGUAUCUAACGAAUAAGCACCGGCUAACUCCGUGCCAGCAGCCGCGGUAAUACGGAGGGUGCAAGCGUUACUCGGAAUCACUGGGCGUAAAGAGCGCGUAGGCGGGCUAGCAAGUCAGAUGUGAAAUCCUAGGGCUUAACCAUAGAACUGCAUUUGAAACUGUUAUUCUAGAGUAUGGGAGAGGUAGGUGGAAUUCUUGGUGUAGGGGUAAAAUCCGUAGAGAUAAAGAGGAAUACUCAUUGCGAAGGCGACCUGCUAGAACAUAACUGACGCUGAUGCGCGAAAGCGUGGGGAGCAAACAGGAUUAGAUACCCCUGUAGUC